UAGGGAAUCUUCCGCAAUGGGCGAAAGCCUGACGGAGCAACGCCGCGUGAGUGAUGAAGGUCUUCGGAUCGUAAAACUCUGUUAUUAGGGAAGAACAAAUGUGUAAGUAACUAUGCACGUCUUGACGGUACCUAAUCAGAAAGCCACGGCUAACUACGUGCCAGCAGCCGCGGUAAUACGUAGGUGGCAAGCGUUAUCCGGAAUUAUUGGGCGUAAAGCGCGCGUAGGCGGUUUUUUAAGUCUGAUGUGAAAGCCCACGGCUCAACCGUGGGGGGUCAUUGGAAACUGGAAAACUUGAGUGCAGAAGAGGAAAGUGGAAUUCCAUGUGUAGCGGUGAAAAGCGCAGAGAUAUGGAGGAACACCAGUGGCGAAGGCGACUUUCUGGUCUGUAACUGACGCUGAUGUGCGAAAGCGUGGGGAUCAAACAGG
Molecule: ribosomal RNA, 429 nt
Filed under: Actinomycetes bacterium
Lineage: Bacteria; Bacillati; Actinomycetota; Actinomycetes
Description: Actinobacteria bacterium partial 16S ribosomal RNA
Rfam family: Bacterial small subunit ribosomal RNA
Source: RNAcentral